GACGAACGCUGGCGGCGUGCCUAAUACAUGCAAGUAGAACGCACAGUUUAUACCGUAGCUUGCUACACCAUAGACUGUGAGUUGCGAACGGGUGAGUAACGCGUAGGUAACCUGCCUGGUAGCGGGGGAUAACUAUUGGAAACGAUAGCUAAUACCGCAUAAUAUUAAUUAUUGCAUGAUAAUUGAUUGAAAGAUGCAACUGCAUCACUACCAGAUGGACCUGCGUUGUAUUAGCUAGUAGGUGAGGUAACGGCUCACCUAGGCGACGAUACAUAGCCGACCUGAGAGGGUGAUCGGCCACACUGGGACUGAGACACGGCCCAGACUCCUACGGGAGGCAGCAGUAGGGAAUCUUCGGCAAUGGACGAAAGUCUGACCGAGCAACGCCGCGUGAGUGAAGAAGGUUUUCGGAUCGUAAAGCUCUGUUGUAAGAGAAGAACGGGUGUGAGAGUGGAAGGUUCACACUGUGACGGUAGCUUACCAGAAAGGGACGGCUAACUACGUG
This 505-nucleotide ribosomal RNA is filed under the name uncultured bacterium. RNAcentral describes it as "partial 16S ribosomal RNA". It matches the Rfam family "Bacterial small subunit ribosomal RNA", at positions 28 to 507 of the family's 1533-position model. The record is from RNAcentral.